RNAcentral lists this non-coding RNA (174 nucleotides) under Neomoorella glycerini. Lineage: Bacteria; Bacillati; Bacillota; Clostridia; Neomoorellales; Neomoorellaceae. The record is from RNAcentral.
UUAACUUAAUAGGGAACAGGUGCCUGCCAGGUUAAAAGGGAAUCAGGUGUAAAUCCUGAGCGGUCGCGCCACUGUAACCGGGGAGCCUGCUUCAAGGCCACUGGUAUUAUACCGGGAAGGCGAAGCCGGGCAAGGAGCCGGAGCCAGGAAACCUGCCUGUUCAUUUCACCCUCG